RNAcentral lists this transfer RNA (69 nucleotides) under Mancinella alouina. RNAcentral describes it as "tRNA-Leu". It matches the Rfam family "tRNA". Rfam says of the family: Transfer RNA (tRNA) molecules are approximately 80 nucleotides in length. Their secondary structure includes four short double-helical elements and three loops (D, anti-codon, and T loops). Further hydrogen bonds mediate the characteristic L-shaped molecular structure. tRNAs have two regions of fundamental functional importance: the anti-codon, which is responsible for specific mRNA codon recognition, and the 3' end, to which the tRNAs corresponding amino acid is attached (by aminoacyl-tRNA synthetases). tRNAs cope with the degeneracy of the genetic code in two manners: having more than one tRNA (with a specific anti-codon) for a particular amino acid; and 'wobble' base-pairing, i.e. permitting non-standard base-pairing at the 3rd anti-codon position. Lineage: Eukaryota; Metazoa; Mollusca; Gastropoda; Neogastropoda; Muricidae. The record is from RNAcentral.
AUAAAGAUGGCAGAAAAAGUGCAUUAGGUUUAAGCCCUAAAUAUAAAGAUUAAUACUCUUUUCUUUAUA